RNAcentral lists this long non-coding RNA (300 nucleotides) under Anolis carolinensis (green anole). RNAcentral describes it as "lncRNA (ENSACAG00000042811.1)". The record is from RNAcentral. Lineage: Eukaryota; Metazoa; Chordata; Lepidosauria; Squamata; Anolidae.
AUGGAAAUUCACUUGGUUCCAGCCUUGUUUUCCUUUUGCAGUCAGGACACCUUAAAGCUUCAUUUGCUAAUUUUCACAGACUCAGUACUGAGGGAAAUUUAUUUAGAAUGGGUUUGUCAUUGCUUUCCUCUGAGACUGAAAGACUUGCCCAAAGUAACCCGACUGGUUUCCACAGCCAAGCAGGAAUGUGAACCCGUCUUUUGGAGUUCUAGCCCAACACUCACCACCCUGGCUCAUUUCCAUCUUGAUGCUAAAUGCCAUCUCUUUUCUUUUCCUUCUUUCUUGGUUCUGUUUUACUGA